CAUAGGUCAUAGUGAGGGAGUCACAUGGCUGUGUGGCCAUGACUGUCAGUCAACAGAAGAGAUACCAGUGGAUUCAGGUUUGGUUCCAUUUUCAUGGAGCAACACAGUGGAAACAGCUCAGUUCUAAGGUUCCUCCUUUUCACAUGGAAUCUCUCUUGACCCGAAUCUCUGGUCCUGGACUUCAGAGCCUUUCCUCUUCCUCAACACUUCAUGUUUAUAUUUUAAAUAUUCCCCUUGCUCCCCAUAUUUGAGUUCUUCUGAAGAAG
This 266-nucleotide long non-coding RNA is filed under the name Heterocephalus glaber (naked mole-rat). RNAcentral's name for it is "lncRNA (ENSHGLG00000046556.1)". The record is from RNAcentral. Lineage: Eukaryota; Metazoa; Chordata; Mammalia; Rodentia; Bathyergidae.